AGUGAACGCUGGCGGUAGGCCUAACACAUGCAAGUCGAACGGCAGCACAGGAGAGCUUGCUCUCUGGGUGGCGAGUGGCGGACGGGUGAGGAAUACAUCGGAAUCUACUCUGUCGUGGGGGAUAACGUAGGGAAACUUACGCUAAUACCGCAUACGACCUACGGGUGAAAGCAGGGGAUCUUCGGACCUUGCGCGAUUGAAUGAGCCGAUGUCGGAUUAGCUAGUUGGCGGGGUAAAGGCCCACCAAGGCGACGAUCCGUAGCUGGUCUGAGAGGAUGAUCAGCCACACUGGAACUGAGACACGGUCCAGACUCCUACGGGAGGCAGCAGUGGGGAAUAUUGGACAAUGGGCGCAAGCCUGAUCCAGCCAUACCGCGUGGGUGAAGAAGGCCUUCGGGUUGUAAAGCCCUUUUGUUGGGAAAAAAAUCCAGCUGGCUAAUACCCGGUUGGGAUGACGGUACCCAAAGAAUAAGCUCCGGCUAACUCCGUGCCAGCAGCCGCCGUAA
This 506-nucleotide ribosomal RNA is filed under the name uncultured bacterium. RNAcentral's name for it is "partial 16S ribosomal RNA". It matches the Rfam family "Bacterial small subunit ribosomal RNA", at positions 29 to 523 of the family's 1533-position model. The record is from RNAcentral.